Sceloporus undulatus (fence lizard) is the source of this 731-nucleotide long non-coding RNA. RefSeq lists it as uncharacterized. The transcript is spliced from 4 exons. Lineage: Eukaryota; Metazoa; Chordata; Lepidosauria; Squamata; Phrynosomatidae. The record is from RefSeq and is a predicted model, not a curated record.
AGCUUGAAAGCUGGAGCUCUUGCAUAAAAGGCUGUUAUUUGGCAUGAGCGCUUCUACUGGCACAGUGCUCUUCCUUGAUAGAAAAAGAAACCAGAUUGUGACUUCAUUAAUUAAUCCCUUCCAUAUGAAAGCUCUUUUCCCAGAGAACCAGACUGAGUCCACGAAAUUUAUGGCUCUCAAAAGUUUUUGCAGCUGAUAACUGCCAAGAUAGAGUAGAACGCAGCGGGUGGAAGAGUAGUGCCAUUAGUUUUUGCACCAUCCAGCUUUUUUUCCCAGUGAACCAUAUCUGGCAUGGAGAAGAGAAAAGAAGAAAGAUGCUCAAACAAGUAAGAUAGCACCAUUGAUAGAGUUUGGAGGAUAUCACACGACUGAAAUUGGUAGCUUCUUUGACAGCAAAAAUGGCAACCCUUCAAGUCACAAAGGGGUGACGCCUUGCAACAAGAAGGUGGCCACAAGAUUGCACUUAUUGUUCCUGGCAGGUUUGGCUCAGGCAUCUUCCUUUCGCAGUCCUUAAACCUUUCUUUAUCAAGCAGCAAGAGUAACACCAGCUUGCUCAACAGAGGGUUUGUGCACAUCAAGGCAGAGAAAAAUCCAUCUUCUAAGUCAAUCUCUAGCAUGUUCAGGCCACCUGCACUGAUGUCCAGUGCAUGGAAAAUAGUGGCUUUCAGUGGUUCUAAAUAGCAGCUGAUCAUGCAAGACAAAGCUCAACAGAUCUUGGGUGUGCUGAAACA